GUUUAUGCAAUGGUUUCUUACAACGCAAAAAGUUGACACCGAGGAAAAUGAAUCUUAAGAGACCUACGACAACUAUUAAAAAACAAGAUUAGAGCAGCUGAGUUGUGUCCUUUCAUAACUAAUCCGAGCAGAUCUUUCACAGGGUAAAACGAAGAUGAAUAAUCUAAAAGCUAGCACAAGUUACCCGGGAAGUAUGCAAGGCACGGCUGCCCCUAAACUCGUUGCCCUCAGCCAGGCCUUGCCUGAACCCGCUGCUUCGCUCCACCUCCACUCUGAGCAGUCGUUGCAGCCAAGCAAGCGUGGCUCCUCCUCCGCUGUCGCAAACGCCCAACCCUCUCUCCAAGGCCACCGCCCCCUGCUUCCUCCUCACACUCUAGGGCGUGAGUUGGGAGCUCCUCUCCCAUAGCAAUACACACCCUGACUAAUCUGUAGAUAACAAAACAAUACUCCAUAGCAGUGCACAUAAUCUAUGUGUAAAUCAUCAAGUUUACGGCAUUAGUGUGAACCCACCUAGUUUUCAACUCGCCAAGCAGUCAUCACAAUUCUUGCAGGCAUAAUGAUGAGCAAAGACAGAAAGGAAUCCAAGCAGACAAUGAAUCCUGUGACAAUUAGCUGCAGGAUUGAUCACAAUCAAAUAUCUCCCUGUUAUUGCAGAACAUGCUACAUCUAGAGUUACUAAACUGAAUCAUUUAGCUAUCUUUUGAAUGCGGUAAUCGAAUUCAUCCUUUUGAAGGUUCAAAGGAAUUGUCUAAUACAUUAUUUUUGUUAAUUUAUUAAGUACUCCCAUAAUCAUACCACUUGUAUCUAUCCUUAUCUUAACAAGGAUACGAAUUUAAUCAUAUUCAUUUCAGUUAAAAUAUGUGGUGAUAACAUGGUUCCAGAAAUAUUACAGUAACUGAUGCAUAUUGGAUUUGUCUCAAGCAAUGCUGGCAAACUAUUCCAAAUAGUUUAGAAUGGCCUGAAAUUUGAAAUAAUUAGAAUGACCCUAAAAUUACAAAAAAAAUAUCAAAUAUAUAGGGUACAAAGAAGGGAACAUAUUUGCAAGUGAGAUAUGAAGUAUCUAAAUGGUGAAUUGUUAUGAUGCUCGAUUUCUACAGUAUCACAUAGUUGAAAAGAGGUGUAAACGCAUACAUUGAACUAAUUUAGUGUGCAAUAGGAAAUCUGACUAAAAGUGGUUUUCAUCUAUGGCCACUACAAAACAACAAUUGUUAGGAGCUGGACAGUUAAAAAGAAAUGCAAAUCCACAUGCUGGUAAUGGUAUCUUUUAAAGGUUUUCAUAAAAAAUAAAUGAACAGAGUACCUUAGCGGUUUUAAUUAUUUGGUUCGACUUUCUGACCUACUAUUUCCACCCAUUUGUAUGCUGGUUAUGAUAUCUUUUAAAAGUUUCCAUACAAAAAUGAGCAAAGUACCUCACUGGUUUUAAUUAUUUGGUUCGACUUUCUAAGUUACUAUUUCCACCCAUUUGUAUCGUCUUGCACAAGUCGUUUGAUGAGCUUAUGGAGAAUCAGUGCAUCCUUAUUUUCUUACUUAGAAAAUGCAGGUUAUGAUAUGAUUAUCUUCAGGUUUUCUAACAAUCUUUUAUAUGUUCCAACUAAAACCAUGGUGCCAGUCUCAUGAUCCUCCAAAUUUGGCCGGGCGCAAAAUCAGCGAACUUAUAAUCAACACUAAUGAAACAACAUCACAACAUGAAAGAGAUGUGCAAAAAACUAAAAUACUAUGUGCUGAAAUCUAAACGAACAGAAAUCUAUACCUCUAAGCAUUUUGUUGUUCUCCUUGAUGUACUUGUCCUGUCCCAGUCCAGCGACUCGUCCUUCUCCAGUUUCUUCACAACACCAUUUGCCUUCCGUUGAGGUAAAGCUUAUGAAAUGUCAGAUGGUCCAUUUCAGAUGAUAUUGACAAACUACGACAUGUUAAUUCCAUAUAAGAAAAUGCUACUGGUUGUAGGAACCAAAUUGCAGUACCAAACUCUCACCUAGAUUCGAGAUCAUUAGAUGAGAUAAAUCACAAGAAGAGAAAUUUAUAACACAGCAUCAACAAAAUUUUGUAGCAACAGAGCCUACACCUGUAUAUCAUGAAAACAGAAGCAAAUCACCUCAGGCCAUCUUCUAAUAGGUACCUGCAGACCCAUCACUCCUCACUGUCUUCUUCUUGAUUUUAUAGCUGACCCUGCUCACCAAAUAGCGGCCAUACCUUUGAUUUUAGUAUCUUAUCAAAUUAUUGCAAAGUACUAACGAUCUAUACCAGAUACAGAACCAGUCUAUUUAUGAACAUAUAGAAGUAGACGGUUACCUGAUUUGUCCCUCAAGAUCACCGGGGAGGGACGGCGACAAGAAAGUCUUCAAUGAUGC
Molecule: long non-coding RNA, 2348 nt
Filed under: Triticum aestivum (bread wheat)
Lineage: Eukaryota; Viridiplantae; Streptophyta; Magnoliopsida; Poales; Poaceae
Description: long non-coding RNA (TAES_LNC001915)
Source: RNAcentral